AUUGAACGCUGGCGGCAGGCCUAACACAUGCACGUCGAACGAGUGGCGGACGGGUGAGUAAUGUCUGGGCAACUGCCUGAUGGAGGGGGAUAACUACUGGAACCGGUAGCUAAUACCGCAUACCAUCGGAUGUGCCCAGAUGGGAUUCGCUCGUAGGUGGGGUAACGGCUCACCUAGGCGACGAUCCCUAGCUGGUCUGAGAGGAUGACCAGCCACACUGUAACGGAGACACGGUCCAGAAUCCUACGGGAGGCAGCAGUGGGAAAUAUUGGACAAGGGGCGGAAGCCUGAUGCAGCCAUGCGGCGUGUAUGAAGAAGGCCUUCGGGGUGUAAAGUACUUUCAGCGGGGAGGCGUUACCCGCAGAAGAAGCACCGGCUAACUCCGUGCCAGCAGCCGCGGUAAUUC
RNAcentral lists this ribosomal RNA (406 nucleotides) under uncultured bacterium. RNAcentral's name for it is "partial 16S ribosomal RNA". It matches the Rfam family "Bacterial small subunit ribosomal RNA", at positions 30 to 526 of the family's 1533-position model. The record is from RNAcentral.